This 437-nucleotide ribosomal RNA is filed under the name uncultured Oscillospiraceae bacterium. Its description in RNAcentral is "bacterial SSU rRNA". It matches the Rfam family "Bacterial small subunit ribosomal RNA", at positions 341 to 792 of the family's 1533-position model. The record is from RNAcentral. Lineage: Bacteria; Bacillati; Bacillota; Clostridia; Eubacteriales; Oscillospiraceae.
ACGGAAGGCAGCAGUGGGGAAUAUUGGGCAAUGGGCGAAAGCCUGACCCAGCAACGCCGCGUGAAGGAAGAAGGUCUUCGGAUUGUAAACUUCUUUUAUGAGGGACGAAGGACGUGACGGUACCUCAUGAAUAAGCCACGGCUAACUACGUGCCAGCAGCCGCGGUAAUACGUAGGUGGCAAGCGUUAUCCGGAUUUACUGGGUGUAAAGGGCGCGUAGGCGGGAGAGCAAGUCAGAUGUGAAAUCCAUGGGCUUAACCCAUGAACUGCAUUUGAAACUGUUCUUCUUGAGUGCUGGAGAGGUAGACGGAAUUCCUUGUGUAGCGGUGAAAUGCGUAGAUAUUAGGAAGAACACCAGUGGCGAAGGCGGUUAGCUGGACAGUAACUGACGCUGAGGCGCGAAAGCGUGGGUAGCAAACAGGAUUAGAUACCCUGGUA